GCUUAGCCCUAAACAUAGGCAAUAGAAACACAAUAUUGUCCGCCAGAGAACUACAAGUGAAAAACUAGAAACUCCAAGGACUUGGCGGUGCCCCACACCAACCUAGAGGAGCCUGUCCUAUAAUCGAUAAUCCACGUUAUACCUCACCAUUUCUAGUCAGUCCAGCCUAUAUACCGCCGUCGAAAGCCUACCUUAUGAAAGAAAGAAAGUAAGCAAAAUAGUCAGAAACUAAAACGUCAGGUCAAGGUGUAGCAUAUGAAAUGGAAGAGAUGGGCUACAUUUUCUAUACCAGAAUAAACGGACAGCAAAAUGAAACCAAUGCUCGAAGGCGGAUUUAGCAGUAAAGCAAAAAAGAAAGUUUGCCUAAAGCCCGCUCUGGGGCGCGCACACACCGCCCGUCA
RNAcentral lists this ribosomal RNA (401 nucleotides) under Brasiliscincus heathi. Its description in RNAcentral is "partial 12S ribosomal RNA". It matches the Rfam family "Bacterial small subunit ribosomal RNA", at positions 794 to 1399 of the family's 1533-position model. The record is from RNAcentral. Lineage: Eukaryota; Metazoa; Chordata; Lepidosauria; Squamata; Scincidae.